GGCACCUCUGGCACAGCAAGAAGUAGUGAGGACAGAGGAGCAGUGUGACAUUGCACGGGAGGAUGUGGUCUGGAUCCCUUUGGCGUGACUCCAAGUCCUUGCUUGCACAGCAGCUCCUCAGCUUGCCCUGAGCACCAUGGCUGUGUGUGCUGCAGGCCACUGGAUCAGCCUCCAGAUGUGCUGUACUUCAGCCCCUGCAGCAGAGGGGAGGCUUUGCUGUGUCACCCUGCAUAGCUGAAGUGAAGGCUGAGGCAGAAGCCAUGUCUGCAGUUCUCAGGGAGUACAAAUCCAGGUCAGCACCUUUAGUGAACCUUGGAAAAACUAUUGUGUGAGCAGUCAGCACACCAAGGCAGCAGCACCCGUUGAGUUCCACACUGCAUUCAGUGAACUGAUUCUCAGGAUGACAGAAUCAUCACUUAACUGGAGCCAGGAGAGCCAUGGACCACCUGUAUGAGCCUUUACUCCUCCCCUUCUGCUCUGGUGAGU
Zonotrichia leucophrys gambelii is the source of this 486-nucleotide long non-coding RNA. RefSeq lists it as uncharacterized. Lineage: Eukaryota; Metazoa; Chordata; Aves; Passeriformes; Passerellidae. The transcript has 3 exons. The record is from RefSeq and is a predicted model, not a curated record.